Molecule: ribosomal RNA, 440 nt
Filed under: uncultured bacterium
Lineage: Bacteria
Description: partial 16S ribosomal RNA
Rfam family: Bacterial small subunit ribosomal RNA
Source: RNAcentral
CCUACGGGGGGCAGCAGUAGGGAAUAUUGCUCAAUGGGGGAAACCCUGAAGCAGCAACGCCGCGUGGAGGAUGAAGGGUCUCGGAGUGUAAAGCCCUUUUGUUAGAGAAGAUAAUGACGGUAACUAAAGAAUAAGCACCGGCUAACUCCGUGCCAGCAGCCGCGGUAAUACGGAGGGUGCAAGCGUUAUGCGGAAUCACUGGGCGUAAAGAGAGCGUAGGCGGGAUGGCAAGUCAGAUGUGAAAGCCUAUGGCUUAACCAUAGAACUGCAUUUGAAACUGUUAGUCUAGAGUAUAGGAGAGGUAGGUGGAAUUCUUGGUGUAGGGGUGAAAUCCGUAGAGAUCAAGAAGAAUACUCAUUGCGAAGGCGACCUGCUAGAACGUAACUGACGCUGAGGCGCGAAAGCGUGGGGAGCAAACAGGAUUAGAUACCCCAGUAGUC